Molecule: unclassified non-coding RNA, 238 nt
Filed under: Hevea brasiliensis (rubber tree)
Lineage: Eukaryota; Viridiplantae; Streptophyta; Magnoliopsida; Malpighiales; Euphorbiaceae
Source: RNAcentral
GGGGAGGCCGGGGGCGGGGGAUGAGGGUAAUUUUGUAUUUUCACCCAUCAUUAAUAGCAAAAUGUAACAGAGGGACUGUUUAAUUUAUGGAAUCAAACCUCAUGGACAUGAUAAUAUAAUUUUUCAAAUAGAGAGAUUCAUCUGAGAAUAAUGACAAACCAUAGGAACGAACUAGUACUUCUCCCAAGAUUUUUUGCUACAGAAAGUGUUACUGAAGCUAGUGCCACAAAAAAAUUUC